Non-coding RNA from Phascolarctos cinereus (koala), 407 nucleotides. The record is from RefSeq and is a predicted model, not a curated record. NCBI's taxonomy places the organism in Eukaryota, Metazoa, Chordata, Mammalia, Diprotodontia, Phascolarctidae.
CCUCUCCCAAGGCACAGAGAUAAGGUCAUAGAUGCCCCACCCUGUCCCUUGGAGGGCCUCUAUGUUAGGGGCCAAGAGGAGGGAUCAGAGUCACCCUCUCCCCCACCCCCUGACAGAGUUUGUCUGAAGGGGGUGCAUCUAGAUAUAGCCUUCCUCCAACCCCUUUCCCUGGCUAUUGAGCCAGAUGAACCAGAGUAGAGUCCCUGGAGUUCUAUGUGGAGGCAAGUAUGUGUCAGUAUGAAAACCAAGAAGAGGAAGGACCAGAAGAGGUAGAAUUCAGGAAAUUGAAGCAGCAAAGAAGAGAGGAAAGGACCACUGAAUAUAUUGGAGCCCCUCUGAGUAAGGGAGCCAUCCUCCCCACCCUCACUGGUCAACUCCUUGGUCACUCACACAUCACAACCACGGAC